GACGAACGCUGGCGGCGUGCUUAACACAUGCAAGUCGAGCGGUAAGGCCCUUUCGGGGGUACACGAGCGGCGAACGGGUGAGUAACACGUGGGUGACCUGCCCUCAGCUCUGGGAUAAGCCUGGGAAACCGGGUCUAAUACUGGAUAUGACUCCAUGACGCAUGUUGUGGGGUGGAAAGCCUUGUGCGGCUGAGGAUGGGCCCGCGGCCUAUCAGCUUGUUGGUGGGGUGAGGCCUACCAAGGCGACGACGGGUAGCCGGCCUGAGAGGGCGACCGGCCACACUGGGACUGAGACACGGCCCAGACUCCUACGGGGAGGCAGCAGUGGGGGAAUCUUGCGCAAUGGGCGAAAGCCUGACGCAGCGACGCCGCGUGAGGGAUGACGGCCU
This 389-nucleotide ribosomal RNA is filed under the name uncultured bacterium. Its description in RNAcentral is "bacterial SSU rRNA". It matches the Rfam family "Bacterial small subunit ribosomal RNA", at positions 28 to 417 of the family's 1533-position model. The record is from RNAcentral.